GACGAACGCUGGCGGCGUGCCUAAUACAUGCAAGUCGAGCGAACAGACGCGGAGCUUGCCCCUCUGACGUAAGCGGCGGAUGGGAGAGUAACACGUGGAUAACCUCCCUAUAAGACUGGGAUAACACCGGGACACCGGCGCUAAUACCGGACGAUAUAUUUAACCGCAGGGUGCAAUAGUGAAAGACGGGUUUGCUGUCACCGAUAGAUGGAUCCGCGCCGCAGUAGCUAGUUGGUAAGGUCACGGCUUACCAAGGCAACGAUGCGUCGCCGACCUGAGAGGGUGAUCGGCCACACUGGAACUGAGACACGGUCCAGACUCCUACGGGAGGCAGCAGUAGGGAAUCUUCCGCAAUGGGCGAAAGCCUGACGGAGCAACGCCGCGUGAGUGAUGAAGGUCUUCGGAUCGUAAAACUCUGUUAUUAGGGAAGAACAAAUGUGUAAGUAACUAUGCACGUCUUGACGGUACCUAAUCAGAAAGCCACGGCUAACUACGUG
RNAcentral lists this ribosomal RNA (497 nucleotides) under uncultured bacterium. RNAcentral describes it as "partial 16S ribosomal RNA". It matches the Rfam family "Bacterial small subunit ribosomal RNA", at positions 28 to 507 of the family's 1533-position model. The record is from RNAcentral.